UCGAAGGUAGCAUAAUCAGUAGUCUUUUAAUUGAAGGCUGGUAUGAAUGGUUGGACGAGAUAUUAACUGUUUCAUAAAAAUUUAUAAUAGAAUUUUAUUUUUUAGUCAAAAAGCUAAAAUUUAUUUAAAAGACGAGAAGACCCUAUAAAUCUUUAUAUUUAAAUUAUUAUAAUUUUAUAGAUUUUUUUUAUUAUAAUAAUUAAUGAUAUUUUAUUGGGGUGAUAUUAAAAUUUAAUAAACUUUUAAUUUUUAAAAUCAUUAAUUUAUGAAUAAUUGAUCCGUUAUUAACGAUUAAAAAAACAAGUUACUUUAGGGAUAACAGCGUAAUUUUUUUGGAGAGUUCAUAUCGAUAAAAAAGAUUGCGACCUCGAUGUUGGAUUAA
RNAcentral lists this ribosomal RNA (382 nucleotides) under Stomorhina lunata. RNAcentral's name for it is "partial 16S ribosomal RNA". Lineage: Eukaryota; Metazoa; Arthropoda; Insecta; Diptera; Rhiniidae. The record is from RNAcentral.